AUUGAACGUUGGCGGCAUGCCUUACACAUGCAAGUCGAACGGUAACAGGUCUUCGGAUGCUGACGAGUGGCGAACGGGUGAGUAAUACAUCGGAACGUGCCUAGUAGUGGGGGAUAACUGCUCGAAAGAGCAGCUAAUACCGCAUACGACCUGAGGGUGAAAGGGGGGGAUCGCAAGACCUCUCGCUAUUGGAGCGGCCGAUAUCAGAGUAGCUAGUUGGUGGGGUAAAGGCCUACCAAGGCAACGAUCUGUAGUUGGUCUGAGAGGACGACCAGCCACACUGGGACUGAGACACGGCCCAGACUCCUACGGGAGGCAGCAGUGGGGAAUUUUGGACAAUGGGCGCAAGCCUGAUCCAGCAAUGCCGCGUGCAGGAAGAAGGCCUUCGGGUUGUAAACUGCUUUUGUCAGGGAAGAAAUCUUCUGGGCUAAUACCCCGGGAGGAUGACGGUACCUGAAGAAUAAGCACCGGCUAACUACGUGCCAGCCGCCGCCGUAA
Molecule: ribosomal RNA, 498 nt
Filed under: uncultured bacterium
Lineage: Bacteria
Description: partial 16S ribosomal RNA
Rfam family: Bacterial small subunit ribosomal RNA
Source: RNAcentral